UCAUACUACCUCAUGGCAGGGAGCGGAUC
Molecule: non-coding RNA, 29 nt
Filed under: Rattus norvegicus (Norway rat)
Lineage: Eukaryota; Metazoa; Chordata; Mammalia; Rodentia; Muridae
Source: RNAcentral